GAAGUGCUCCCUCCGUUCGAAAAAUACUUGUCAGAGGAAUGGAUGUAUCUAGAUGUAUCUUAGUUCUAGAUACAGACAUUUUUAUUCAUUUCUUCGACAAGUAUUUUUGGAUGAAUGGAGUAUUAU
Molecule: microRNA precursor, 126 nt
Filed under: Hordeum vulgare
Lineage: Eukaryota; Viridiplantae; Streptophyta; Magnoliopsida; Poales; Poaceae
Description: microRNA MIR1122
Rfam family: MIR1120/MIR1122 microRNA precursor family
Source: RNAcentral